This is a long non-coding RNA of Meriones unguiculatus (Mongolian gerbil), 836 nucleotides long. RefSeq lists it as uncharacterized. NCBI's taxonomy places the organism in Eukaryota, Metazoa, Chordata, Mammalia, Rodentia, Muridae. The transcript is spliced from 5 exons. The record is from RefSeq and is a predicted model, not a curated record.
UAAAGCAAACCCUCAAGCAUGCUGUGCUAUUCUGCCAUUGCACUGCACACCAGCUUCCCCUGUGGCCCUUAGGGCGCUGGUCUUCAGGGUCGAAGUCUCCCUUGGCCACCACCUCAACCUAAGGGCUGUCUCCCCUUUCUCCACCUCUCUUCUGGUGCCCCUUACUGGUCACCUAGAUGAAAUCAAGGAGGCUCCGCUUUUGGUCCUUGUGGGAUACACUGAGACUCUCAUCUCUGAACUUCGAGGGAUUCCAGGUAGUUACCUAAUCCUUGGAGGAAAGAAACACUAGAAAAGGACCAAGAUCUCUAAGAGAGAGGUUGGUAAAAUAAACAAACCUCUGUACCCUUCACGAGGCACGUGUAUUUGGACGGUUAAAAGUGGGUGGAAGAUGAUCCUUAGCACGAACUGAUCAGCAAAGUCAUUUCCCCGCGGACAGCCCACAGAACGUGCAGUUGUACCAAAAAGCCAACUGGUCUAUUUCUCAUAAGGUUUUCACCCAAGGAGCCAAGAAGUUUUCAGAAUCCAUAGCCACAGACAAGAACACAGACUGAACUGGUGUGCAAACCCAGACAACUCAACCCUGGGACGCAGACAAGCACGACAGUUUCUCGUAGUGUUUGCUCGCCUGCCUCAGAAGGGAAUUUCAGGACUUUGGCAAAAUACAAAAGAUGCCUGGGAGGCUGGCUGAACCUGACCUGACCUGACGGUGGAAUCCCACGUGCGCGUGAGAAGUGGCUUCCAUCUGGUCACUAGGUAGGCCUUGGCCGGUCUGCUGCCCACGCUACUGCCCCACCCAGCCACGCUGACCUCUCACCCCCUGCUGUGACUGUCAAGUG